Non-coding RNA from Lasiosphaeria ovina, 117 nucleotides. NCBI's taxonomy places the organism in Eukaryota, Fungi, Ascomycota, Sordariomycetes, Sordariales, Lasiosphaeriaceae. The record is from the annotation of a GenBank genome assembly.
GGUUGUGUAGUGUAGCGGUUAUCACUCUGGAUUUUGACAAAGGUGCAAAGCGGCAAACCCGCCCACGCCCGGCUCUCAAUCAUUCCAGUAACCCCGGUUCGAACCCGGGCACGACCU